AGGGGGUUAGGGUUGUUCGGAAUUACUGAGCGUAAUCCGCACGUAUGGGGAUUGGAAGGUUGGGGGUGAAAUCCGAGGGCUCAGCCCUGGAACUGCCUCCUCAACUAUCAAUCUGCAUUUCAAAAUAGGUGACUGGAAUUCCGAGGGUAUAGGUGAGAUUCGUAGAUGUUCGGAGGAACACCAUAUGGCUAACGCGGAUCACUGAUUCCAUACUGACGCUAACGUGCAAGAGCGGGCGCAGAUGACCGGAUUAGAUACCCUGGUAGUCCACACCGAUACACGAUGAAUGCCACGUCGUCGGGUA
Molecule: ribosomal RNA, 304 nt
Filed under: uncultured bacterium
Lineage: Bacteria
Description: bacterial SSU rRNA
Rfam family: Bacterial small subunit ribosomal RNA
Source: RNAcentral